GCUUAACACAUGCAAGUCGAGGGGCAGCAUGGUCUUAGCUUGCUAAGGCCGAUGGCGACCGGCGCACGGGUGAGUAACGCGUAUCCAACCUGCCUUACACUCUUGGACAGCCUUCUGAGAGGGAGAUUAAUACAAGAUGUUAUCAUGAGUAAGCAUUUUCGCAUGAUUAAAGGUUUACCGGUGUAAGAUGGGGAUGCGUUCCAUUAGAUAGUAGGCGGGGUAACGGCCCACCUAGUCUUCGAUGGAUAGGGGUUCUGAGAGGGAGGUCCCCCACAUUGGAACUGAGACACGGUCCAAACUCCUACGGGAGGCAGCAGUGAGGAAUAUUGGUCAAUGGACGAGAGUCUGAACCAGCCAAGUAGCGUGAAGGAUGAAGGUUCUAUGGAUUGUAAACUUCUUUUAUACGGGAAUAAACGAAUCCACGCGUGGAUUUUUGCAUGUACCGUAUGAAUAAGGAUCGGCUAACUCCGUGCCAGCAGCCGCGGUAAUACGGAGGAUCCGAGCGUUAUCCGGAUUUAUUGGGUUUAAAGGGAGCGUAGAUGGGUUGUUAAGUCAGUUGUGAAAGUUUGCGGCUCAACCGUAAAAUUGCAAUUGAUACUGGCAGUCUUGAGUACAGUUGAGGUAGGCGGAAUUCGUGGUGUAGCGGUGAAAUGCUUAGAUAUCACGAAGAACUCCGAUUGCGAAGGCAGCUUACUAACCUGUAACUGACAUUGAUGCUCGAAAGUGUGGGUAUCAAACAGGAUUAGAUACCCUGGUAGUCCACACGGUAAACGAUGAAUACUCGCUGUAGGCGAUAUACAGUCUGCGGCCAAGCGAAAGCAUUAAGUAUUCCACCUGGGGAGUACGCCGGCAACGGUGAAACUCAAAGGAAUUGACGGGGGCCCGCACAAGCGGAGGAACAUGUGGUUUAAUUCGAUGAUACGCGAGGAACCUUACCCGGGCUUAAAUUGCAACCGAAUAUGGCGGAAACGCUAUAGCUAGCAAUAGCGGUUGUGAAGGUGCUGCAUGGUUGUCGUCAGCUCGUGCCGUGAGGUGUCGGCUUAAGUGCCAUAACGAGCGCAACCCUUGCCGAUAGUUACUAACAGGUCAUGCUGAGGACUCUGUCGGGACUGCCAUCGUAAGAUGUGAGGAAGGUGGGGAUGACGUCAAAUCAGCACGGCCCUUACGUCCGGGGCUACACACGUGUUACAAUGGGGGGUACAGAGGGCUGCUACCACGCAAGUGGAUGCCAAUCCCAAAAACCUCUCUCAGUUCGGAUUGAAGUCUGCAACCCGACUUCAUGAAGCUGGAUUCGCUAGUAAUCGCGCAUCAGCCACGGCGCGGUGAAUACGUUCCCGGGCCUUGUACACACCGCCCGUCAAGCCAUGGGAGCCGGGGGUACCUGAAGUGCGUAACCGCAAGGAGCGCCCUAGGGUAAAACUGGUGACUGGGGCUAA
This 1436-nucleotide ribosomal RNA is filed under the name uncultured organism. RNAcentral's name for it is "16S ribosomal RNA". It matches the Rfam family "Bacterial small subunit ribosomal RNA". The record is from RNAcentral.